UGCACAUUUUACUUUCCAUGCUUUAAUCAUAGAAAAAGGUAACCAAUUAAAUAAAAUAAAUCCUUAGAUUGUAAAAAGAAACGAAAACACAAAAAUGAUUAAAUAAUUUCUUCCUCCUCGGGAUAUUUUUCCUUUGUACGAAUCAAGAGCUGUUUAUUGAUAUGAGGCAAUACACCACCGCCCGCAAUUGUAGCACGAAUUAAAGUGUCCAACUCCUCAUCACCUCGAAUAGCAAGUUGAAGAUGUCUAGGUGUGAUACGUUUGACCUUCAAAUCUUUUGCCGCGUUUCCCGCAAGUUCCAAGACUUCAGCGGUCAAAUAUUCAAGGACUGCAGCACUAUAUACAGCACUUUUUGCACCGACGCGCAUAUUAUUUUGAGUUUUUGCCUUUAAAAAGCGUCGAACACGUCCAACAGGAAAUUGUAAACCAGCGCGAGCUGAAUGCGACAUUUGACCGCGUUCGCCGAUUUUAGAACCUCCCUUACCUCCAACAUGUUUACCUUUACCGCCUCCAGACAUCAUUUUGAAUCGAUUAUUGCAAUUGCAAAAAGCGAAUGUUUUGUGUGUUAGGGAGAAGGCAGAUUCGUGAACGCGAGGUGCGUGUCUUAAUAUCAUAAAGCCGCGUACAGAGGGGCUGUACCUUUAAACAUCAAGUUUUCGAAUUUCUAACAACAGAGGAUAAAUUUAUAGAAUAUUGACAAAGGAUGAAACGUUUUUUUAAUG
This is a non-coding RNA of Schizosaccharomyces pombe (fission yeast), 722 nucleotides long. Lineage: Eukaryota; Fungi; Ascomycota; Schizosaccharomycetes; Schizosaccharomycetales; Schizosaccharomycetaceae. The record is from the annotation of a GenBank genome assembly.